GAUGGCGUGGGAGGAGGAAGAAGAGGGGGUGGUUUCUCCAACCUCUUUUCCGCCUCCCUUAAGUCCCAUCCCUUCUCCUCCUUCUCCGCCUCUU
This is a non-coding RNA of Xyrichtys novacula (pearly razorfish), 94 nucleotides long. The record is from the annotation of a GenBank genome assembly. NCBI's taxonomy places the organism in Eukaryota, Metazoa, Chordata, Actinopteri, Labriformes, Labridae.